This 1524-nucleotide ribosomal RNA is filed under the name marine metagenome. RNAcentral's name for it is "bacterial LSU rRNA". It matches the Rfam family "Bacterial large subunit ribosomal RNA", at positions 1422 to 2925 of the family's 2925-position model. The record is from RNAcentral.
UAUCCGGUUAAUAUUCCGGAACCUCCUGAGAGGAGCGAAGUGGUGACGCAGAACGGUAGGCCAGCCGACCCAUUGGACAUGGUCGGUGCUAAGCGCGUAGGCGUUGAGACCCGUAGGAAAAUCCGCGGGUUGAGCUGAGGCGCGAUGGCGUGGCCCAGAGCCUGAAGUGGCCGAGCCGAGCUGCCAAGAAAAGCCUCGUAGUGUUGAAUCUCAGGUGACCGUACCGUAAACCGACACUGGUAGACGAGUAGAGAAUACUAAGGCGAGCGGGAGAACCUUCGUUAAGGAACUAGGCAAAAUAGCCCCGUAACUUCGGGAGAAGGGGCGCCCUCUAGCGUGAAAUGCAAACGCAUCUAGCGCGAGGGGGCCGCAGUGAAAUGGCUCUGGUGACUGUUUAUCAAAAACACAGGUCCCUGCUAAAGCGUAAGCUGAUGUAUAGGGGCUGACGCCUGCCCAGUGCCGGAAGGUUAAAGUGAGGGGUCAGCCUCCUUCGGGAGGCGAAGCUCUGAGCUGAAGCCCCGGUGAACGGCGGCCGUAACUAUAACGGUCCUAAGGUAGCGAAAUUCCUUGUCGGGUAAGUUCCGACCUGCACGAAAGGCGUAACAACUGGAGCGCUGUCUCAACGAAGGACCCGGCGAAAUUGAAGUAUGCGUAAAGAUGCGUAUUACCCGCAGCAGGACAAAAAGACCCCGGCAGCUUUACUAUAGCUUGGCAUUGCGUUUGGACUUAGUUUGUCCAGGAUAGGUGGGAGGCUGUGAAACUGGAGCGCCAGCUUCGGUGGAGCCAUCCUUGGGAUACCACCCUGACUGAGUUUAGACCCUAACCCCAGACCGUCAUCCGGCUGGGGAACCGUGCCAGGUGGGUAGUUUGACUGGGGCGGUCGCCUCCUAAAAGGUAACGGAGGCGCCCAAAGGUUCCCUCAGGCUGAAUGGAAACCAGCCGCAGAGUGCAAAGGCAUAAGGGAGCUUGACUGCAAGACCUACAAGUCGCGCAGAGACGAAAGUCGGGCUUAGUGAUCCCACGGUUCUGAGUGGAAAGGCCGUGGCUCAACGGAUAAAAGCUACGCCGGGGAUAACAGGCUAGUCUUGCCCAAGAGUCCAUAUCGACGGCAAGGCUCGGCACCUCGAUGUCGGCUCAUCGCAUCCUGGGGCUGGAUAAGGUCCCAAGGGUUGGGCUGUUCGCCCAUUAAAGCGGUACGUGAGCUGGGUUCAGACCGUCGUGAGACAGGUCGGUCUCUAUCCGCUGUGGGCGCAGGGAAUUUGAAGGGAGCUGCUCCUAGUACGAGAGGACCGGAGUGGACAGACCUCUGGUGUGUCAGUUGUCGUGCCAACGGCAUCGCUGAGUAGCUACGUCUGGCAAGGAUAACCGCUGAAAGCAUCUAAGCGGGAAACCUGCCCUGAGAUUAGAUCCCCCAAACCACUGUGUUUGUAAGACCGCAGGAAGACCACCUGCUUGAUAGGCGACCGGGUGUAAGCACAGCAAUGUGUGAGCCUAGGCGUACUAAUGGUCGAGAGGCUUCACUAA